UUCCGGUUGAUCCUGCCGGAGGCUACCGCUAUUGGAGUUCGAUUAAGCCAUGCGAGUCGAGAGUCUUAGGGACUCGGCGUACCGCUCAGUAACACGUGGGUAACCUGCCCUAUGCUGGGGAAUAACCUCGGGAAACUGAGAAUAAUACCCCAUAGUUCACCACGCCUGGAGCGGUGGGUGGAUGAAAGCUCCGGCGGCAUAGGAUGGGCCUGCGACGUAUCAGGUUGUAGGGGGUGUAACGUACCCUCUAGCCAUCAACGCGUACGGGUGUUGGGAGACAUAGCCCGGAGAUGGAUUCUGAGACACGAAUCCAGACCCUACGGGGUGCAGCAGGCGCGAAAACUUGGCAAUGCGAGCAAUCGUGACCAGGGAACUCCAAGUGGCUGGGGUAAUACCCAGUUUUUUCUUGACUCUUCAAAGGUCUUGGAAUAAGGGGUGGGUAAGGACGGUGCCAGCCGCCGCGGUAAUACCGGCGCCUCAAGUGGUAGUCGCUUUUAUUGGGCCUAAAACGUCCGUAGCCGGUCUGGUGCAUUCGUGGGUAAAUCAACCUGCUCAACGGGUUGAAUUCUGCGAGCACGGCCAGACUUGGGACCGGGAGAGGUGUGGGGUACUCUCAGGGUAGGGGUAAAAUCCCUGUCAUCCUGAGAGGACCACCUGUUGCGAAGG
Molecule: ribosomal RNA, 666 nt
Filed under: uncultured Candidatus Poseidoniales archaeon
Lineage: Archaea; Methanobacteriati; Thermoplasmatota; Candidatus Poseidoniia; Candidatus Poseidoniales
Description: bacterial SSU rRNA
Rfam family: Archaeal small subunit ribosomal RNA
Source: RNAcentral